This 258-nucleotide long non-coding RNA is filed under the name Zea mays. RNAcentral describes it as "long non-coding RNA (ZMAY_LNC000090)". The record is from RNAcentral. Lineage: Eukaryota; Viridiplantae; Streptophyta; Magnoliopsida; Poales; Poaceae.
GCGAUCUCGACGAGGGUGUGCGCAACCUCCAGCGGGAUCUUGUGUGCCGCCGAUCCGAGCGUCAUCGUCGGCUUGACCGUUCGGUUGGCCAGCAAAAUAGCUUGAUCCCGCUGGUAUGCCUUCAGGGAGGCGGAAUCAAGAGGUUGAGGGAGGCGGAAUCAAGAGGUUGAGGGAGGCGGCGAGAUGAACCUUAGGGCCACGCCGUACGCAACCUUGCCGAGGAGGCGUGGACGACGAGUUUGAUGUUAAGAUUGUCGG